CGGAGGAUCCAAGCGUUAUCCGGAAUCAUUGGGUUUAAAGGGUCCGUAGGCGGGUUUAUAAGUCAGUGGUGAAAGCCCAUCGCUCAACGAUGGAACGGCCAUUGAUACUGUAGAUCUUGAAUUAUUAGGAAGUAACUAGAAUAUGUAGUGUAGCGGUGAAAUGCUUAGAGAUUACAUGGAAUACCAAUUGCGAAGGCAGGUUACUACUAAUGGAUUGACGCUGAUGGACGAAAGCGUGGGUAGCGAACAGGAUUAGAUACCCUGGUAGUCCACGCCGUAAACGAUGGAUACUAGCUGUUCGGAGCAAUCUGAGUGGCUAAGCGAAAGUGAUAAGUAUCCCACUGGGGAUACGUUCGCAAGAAUG
This 364-nucleotide ribosomal RNA is filed under the name uncultured organism. Its description in RNAcentral is "bacterial SSU rRNA". It matches the Rfam family "Bacterial small subunit ribosomal RNA", at positions 526 to 896 of the family's 1533-position model. The record is from RNAcentral.